UGGUAGGAUAGAGGCCUACCAUGGUGGCAACGGGUAACGGGGUGUUAGGGCACGACACCGGAGAGGGAGCCUGAGAAACGGCUACCACAUCCAAGGAUGGCAGCAGGCGCGCAAAUUACCCAAUCCCGACACGGGGAGGUAGUGACAAUAAAUAACAAUACGGGGUUCUUUCGGAUCUCGUAAUUGGAAUGAGUACAAUUUAAAUCUCUUAACGAGGAACAAUUGGAGGGCAAGUCUGGUGCCAGCAGCCGCGGUAAUUCCAGCUCCAAUAGCGUAUAUUAAAGUUGUUGCAGUUAAAAAGCUCGUAGUUGAAUUUCGGGGUUAGUAGGUUGGUCAUGCCUCUGGUAUGUACUGGUCUCACUGAUUCCUCCUUCCUUAUGAACCGUAAUGCCAUUAAUUUGGUGUUGCGGGGAAUUUGGACUGUUACUUUGAAAAAAUUAGAGUGUUUAAAGCAAGCUAACGCUUGAAUACAUUAGCAUGGAAUAAUGAAAUAGGACGUUCGAUCUUAUUUUGUUGGUUUCUAGGAUUGACGUAAUGAUUAAUAGGGAUAGUUGGGGGCAUUAGUAUUCAAUUGUCAGAGGUGAAAUUCUUGGAUUUAUUGAAGACUAACUACUGCGAAAGCAUUUGCCAAGGAUGUUUUCAUUAAUCAAGAACGAAAGUUAGGGGAUCGAAGACGAUCAGAUACCGUCGUAGUCUUAACCAUAAACUAUGCCGACUAGGGAUCGGAUGA
This 730-nucleotide ribosomal RNA is filed under the name uncultured fungus. Its description in RNAcentral is "SSU rRNA". It matches the Rfam family "Eukaryotic small subunit ribosomal RNA", at positions 326 to 1060 of the family's 1831-position model. Lineage: Eukaryota; Fungi. The record is from RNAcentral.